This 373-nucleotide long non-coding RNA is filed under the name Mytilus galloprovincialis (Mediterranean mussel). The record is from RNAcentral. Lineage: Eukaryota; Metazoa; Mollusca; Bivalvia; Mytilida; Mytilidae.
GUUGGCGUCAGCGUUGUCAUUGUCGUCGUUGUCCAAAUACUUUUGGUUUUCGCACUAUAACUUUAGUUUAAGUAAAUAGAAAUCUAUGAAAUUCGAACACAAGGUUUAUGACCACAAAAGGAAGGUUGGGAUUGAUUUUGGAAGUUUUGGUCCCAACAGUUUAGGAAUUAGGGGCCAAAAAGGGCCCAAAUAAGCAUUUUCUUGGUUUUCACACUAUAACUUUAGUUUAAGUUAAUAGAAAUAUAUGAAAUUUUGACACAAGGUUUAUGACCACAAAAGGGAGGUUGGGAUUGAUUUUGGGAGUUUUGGUUCCAACUUUUUAGGAAUUAGGGGCCAAAAAAGGGCCCAAAUAAGCAUUAUUCUUGGUUUUUGC